UCUCCUGGAAAACGGGUGGUAAUGCCGGAUGCUCCAGUUGAUCGCAUGGUCUUCUGGGAAAGCUUUCGCGGUAUGGGAUGGGGUCGCGUCCUAUCAGCUUGACGGCGGGGUAACGGCCCACCGUGGCUUCGACGGGUAGCCGGCCUGAGAGGGCGACCGGCCACAUUGGGACUGAGAUACGGCCCAGACUCCUACGGGAGGCAGCAGUGGGGAAUAUUGCACAAUGGGCGCAAGCCUGAUGCAGCGACGCCGCGUGAGGGAUGGAGGCCUUCGGGUUGUAAACCUCUUUUAUCGGGGAGCAAGCGAGAGUGAGUUUACCCGUUGAAUAAGCACCGGCUAACUACGUGCCAGCAGCCGCGGUAAUACGUAGGGUGCAAGCGUUAUCCGGAAUUAUUGGGCGUAAAGGGCUCGUAGGCGGUUCGUCGCGUCCGGUGUGAAAGUCCAUCGCUUAACGGUGGAUCCGCGCCGGGUACGGGCGGGCUUGAGUGCGGUAGGGGAGACUGGAAUUCCCGGUGUAACGGUGGAAUGUGUAGAUAUCGGGAAGAACACCAC
This 552-nucleotide ribosomal RNA is filed under the name Bifidobacterium longum subsp. suillum. RNAcentral's name for it is "bacterial SSU rRNA". It matches the Rfam family "Bacterial small subunit ribosomal RNA", at positions 146 to 712 of the family's 1533-position model. Lineage: Bacteria; Bacillati; Actinomycetota; Actinomycetes; Bifidobacteriales; Bifidobacteriaceae. The record is from RNAcentral.